Long non-coding RNA from Ictalurus punctatus (channel catfish), 660 nucleotides. Lineage: Eukaryota; Metazoa; Chordata; Actinopteri; Siluriformes; Ictaluridae. The record is from Ensembl.
GCGUGUGCACUUCAUGGUAUUCUGUCCAAAGAAAAAAAAGACAAGAAAAGGACAGAAACACACUUAUGACAUUAUCAUUCAUCCUGACACACUGCUACACCGCUUCUUUGGCGUUUUUUUUGUGCAUUAGCUCGUUGUGUAUAUAUACCGUAACGCUUGUGUCGGCGUUAAAUCGUCCGAUGUCGACGUUUCCUCGGGAACCAUGAUCCAAUCGGUUCUAACAGUUCUCGAGCUCUCAAGCCGGACAUUAUUCUAGACUGAAGUCGGACCUCGAAAUGCGCGUACUGACACGUGCCCAUUUUUUUCAGGACACUACUUGACGAGAUCAGUCAGGACACGGGGAAGUACUGUUUCGGAGUCGAUGACACACUUAAAGCUCUGGAGAUGGGAGCCAUGGAGAUUCUGAUCGCUACGAGAACCUGGACACCAUGCGCUACGUACUGCGCUGUCACGGAGCAGAGGGAGGCGGGCCCGAAAACGAUGAGAAGACUCUGUAUUUGACACCAGUGCAGGAGAGGAUAAGUCUCACUUCACAGACAAAGAGACAGGGCAGGAGCACGAGCUCUUAGAGAGCAUGCCGCUGCUCGAGUGGUUUGCCAACAACUACAAGAAAUUCGGGCUACGCUGGAGAUCGUGACUGACAAAAGUCAAGAGGGCUCG